UGCGGGGGUGCCCGAGCUGGUCAAAGGGGACAGGCUUAGGACCUGUUGACGCAGGUCUACCAGGGUUCGAAUCCCUGCUCCCGCAU
RNAcentral lists this transfer RNA (86 nucleotides) under Methanobrevibacter filiformis. RNAcentral's name for it is "tRNA-Leu". It matches the Rfam family "tRNA". From Rfam's summary of the family: Transfer RNA (tRNA) molecules are approximately 80 nucleotides in length. Lineage: Archaea; Methanobacteriati; Methanobacteriota; Methanobacteria; Methanobacteriales; Methanobacteriaceae. The record is from RNAcentral.